Molecule: non-coding RNA, 76 nt
Organism: Myotis davidii
Lineage: Eukaryota; Metazoa; Chordata; Mammalia; Chiroptera; Vespertilionidae
Source: Rfam
GGAUGCUUUUUGGAUGAUGCACCCCGGAAUCAGGCUCCCUUCUCUCUGGUUCUGGGUGCAUCACCUGAAAACUGCA